GAUGAACCCUGGCGGCGUGCCUAAUACAUGCAAGUCGAGCGAAUGGAUUAAGAGCUUGCUCUUAUGAAGUUAGCGGCGGACGGGUGAGUAACACGUGGGUAACCUGCCCAUAAGACUGGGAUAACUCCGGGAAACCGGGGCUAAUACCGGAUAACAUUUUGAACCGCAUGGUUCGAAAUUGAAAGGCGGCUUCGGCUGUCACUUAUGGAUGGACCCGCGUCGCAUUAGCUAGUUGGUGAGGUAACGGCUCACCAAGGCAACGAUGGGUAGCCGACCGGAGAGGGUGAUCGGCAACACUGGGACUGGGACACGGCCCAGACUCCUACGGGAGGCAGCAGUAGGGAAUCUUCCGCAAUGGACGAAAGUCUGACGGAGCAACGCCGCGUGAGUGAUGAAGGCUUUCGGGUCGUAAAACUCUGUUGUUAGGGAAGAACAAGUGCUAGUUGAAUAAGCUGGCACCUUGACGGUACCUAACCAGAAAGCCACGGCUAACUACGUGCCAGCAGCCGCGGUAA
This 515-nucleotide ribosomal RNA is filed under the name uncultured bacterium. RNAcentral describes it as "partial 16S ribosomal RNA". It matches the Rfam family "Bacterial small subunit ribosomal RNA", at positions 28 to 523 of the family's 1533-position model. The record is from RNAcentral.